UCGCCAGUAGAUUUAGGAUUAUUAUUGGUAGUGCCUGCUCAGUGCCCAUUGUGGUAAACAGCCGCUGUAUUUUGACGGUGCUAAGGUAGCGAAAUUCCUAGCCUUUUAAUUGGAGGCCUGCAUGAAUGGCUUGACGAGCGCCUGACUGUCUCUUUUUCACCUGUGAUGAAAUUAGCUUUUGUGUGCAAAGACACAAAUGAUUGAGUAAGACGAAAAGACCCUGUGCAACUUUACUAAGUAAAGGGUAGUCCUUAAUGUAGUUUAGCUGGGGCAGCUUAGGAAAAAGUAAAAUUUCCUUGUAUUUCAAAUACCGAUAGGUUAAGAUCCGAUUAUUAAGAUCGAUUAGCAGAAAAGUUACGCCAGGGAUAACAGCGUUAUCCCUCUGUGGAGGCCUUAUCUGCAGGGGGGAUUGCGACCUCGAUGUUGAAUUAGGGAUAUAGCGGAAAGGCGUAGCA
This 455-nucleotide ribosomal RNA is filed under the name Atrina assimilis. RNAcentral describes it as "partial 16S ribosomal RNA". It matches the Rfam family "Bacterial large subunit ribosomal RNA", at positions 1819 to 2567 of the family's 2925-position model. The record is from RNAcentral. Lineage: Eukaryota; Metazoa; Mollusca; Bivalvia; Pterioida; Pinnidae.